Molecule: ribosomal RNA, 602 nt
Filed under: Burkholderia sp. N4b12_1
Lineage: Bacteria; Pseudomonadati; Pseudomonadota; Betaproteobacteria; Burkholderiales; Burkholderiaceae
Also listed under: 58 other names
Description: bacterial SSU rRNA
Rfam family: Bacterial small subunit ribosomal RNA
Source: RNAcentral
UGUGAAGAAGGCCUUCGGGUUGUAAAGCACUUUUGUCCGGAAAGAAAACCAUCGCCCUAAUAUGGUGGUGGGAUGACGGUACCGGAAGAAUAAGCACCGGCUAACUACGUGCCAGCAGCCGCGGUAAUACGUAGGGUGCGAGCGUUAAUCGGAAUUACUGGGCGUAAAGCGUGCGCAGGCGGUCUGUUAAGACCGAUGUGAAAUCCCCGGGCUUAACCUGGGAACUGCAUUGGUGACUGGCAGGCUUUGAGUGUGGCAGAGGGGGGUAGAAUUCCACGUGUAGCAGUGAAAUGCGUAGAGAUGUGGAGGAAUACCGAUGGCGAAGGCAGCCCCCUGGGCCAACACUGACGCUCAUGCACGAAAGCGUGGGGAGCAAACAGGAUUAGAUACCCUGGUAGUCCACGCCCUAAACGAUGUCAACUAGUUGUUGGGGAUUCAUUUCCUUAGUAACGUAGCUAACGCGUGAAGUUGACCGCCUGGGGAGUACGGUCGCAAGAUUAAAACUCAAAGGAAUUGACGGGGACCCGCACAAGCGGUGGAUGAUGUGGAUUAAUUCGAUGCAACGCGAAAAACCUUACCUACCCUUGACAUGGUCGGAAUCC